UACGUAGGGAGCAAGCGUUGUCCGGAAUCAUUGGGCGUAAAGCGCGCGUAGGCGGCCUCAUAAGUCCGUUGUGAAAGUCCAGGGCUCAACCCUGGGAUGCCGGUGGAUACUGUCGGGCUCGAGUCCGGAAGAGGAGUGUGGAAUUCCUGGUGUAGCGGUGAAAUGCGCAGAUAUCAGGAGGAACACCAAUGGCGAAGGCAGCACUCUGGGACGUGACUGACGCUGAGACGCGAAAGCGUGGGGAGCAAACAGG
RNAcentral lists this ribosomal RNA (253 nucleotides) under uncultured bacterium. Its description in RNAcentral is "partial 16S ribosomal RNA". It matches the Rfam family "Bacterial small subunit ribosomal RNA", at positions 524 to 776 of the family's 1533-position model. The record is from RNAcentral.